Molecule: long non-coding RNA, 1246 nt
Organism: Parus major (Great Tit)
Lineage: Eukaryota; Metazoa; Chordata; Aves; Passeriformes; Paridae
Exons: 3
Source: RefSeq, a predicted model, not a curated record
AGGUUAGGCUGGGCGGGCUCGGGCACCCCCGGGCGCGCGCUCUUAAAGGGACCGUGCCCCGCUCUCGCCGGGCCAAACCCGAGCCGCGGGCGGGCGCUCCCCGGGACUGAUGCCCGGGACCGACCCCGGUCCCCGUGGGGCGCCCACCCCUCCCGACACCUCGCUCCCGAUCGGGGGGUCGGGGUCGGAAGAGAGGAUAACACCCGAGCGGGCUGGGAAAGCUUCUCCCGCGGCAAUUACACAACUGCCGCUUGCUCCACUUAUGGGAUAAAAUUAGCUGUGGGUUUGGAGCCCAUCCGCGCUUUAAGGGUGACUGGAGUUACCCUGGGAGGCCGAGAACACUAUAUAAAUUAGUAACCCCGGCUAAAAAUACAUCGGUCGCCGGUUCCAAAGACUUCCACCCAUUUAAAGCAUGAGUCAGCAGGAGCUCCGCAGGAAGUGACUGUCUCCAUCCCACAAGGGUAGAGUUUGGCACAGUUAAGAUGUGAGCACAGAACCUUAGAAGAGUGAAAGAAACUCGGCACGCUCUUUGCUCCCUGUAACUCUUACGCAAUGACACCUAUUAUAGGACAAGCCUGGACAAACACUCGGGAAUGGACUUCAGAACACAACGGUGCACUUGAAGUCAAUCCAUGCAGGGGGUGAAGUAACUACCAUGGUUCUGCUGAAUGCCUCCACAUUACACCAGCACGUAUGGUGGAAGUUUCUGUAUUUCGUUGUUGUUGCUGUUGUUAUUAGCAGUAAGGUACUUUGACCCUGUUCUAAGCCUUAUCCUAACAGGAUGAACUGGAGUUUCAACUACCCAGGCCUACUGGAAAUUGGGCCCAGCAGUUAUUUGGCAGUGGUCUUCAUGAGCAGCAAUGCCAGCUUUCCAUUGCAAUGCCCACAUUCAGAGAUUUGCAGAAUUAGAGUCCAAAUUCUGCUUGUAUGUGCGAGUCCAGAAUGCCACUGACUUCAAGGGGGUUGUAAGAUUUUAGCCAAGAGCAAAAAUUGGCCCAGGAUUUUUUCAGACUCCCUCAUGCUUCUGUUUAUAUGAUAUUACCAUCAAGCUCUAUUAGCAUGCUCCAUGAUGCAUUUUACUUUUAAAUUACAUAAAGGAUAUUUACUGUGCUGAUGCUACAUAGUUUGCAAGAAAGAUGCACAUAUGGAAAUGAAAAAACAUCAAUUACCAUCAGGAUUUCUAGCUUUCAGCAUUCAUUUUCCAAAACAACCCAGAGACUAUUUCUCAUUUAAAAAAAAAAAAAAA